GGGGACGAAGUCUGGCUUUCGUAGGAGUCCGGACGAAGUCUACCUGUAUUUGGAGUCGGGGAUGAAGUCCGGCUCCCGUAGGAGUCCGGAUGGAGUCUACCUGCAUUUGGAGUCGGGGACGAAGUCCGGCUCCCGUAGGAGUCCGGAUGAAGUCUAUUUGCAACUGAAGUCAGAGGUCUGGCUCCCGUAGGAGUCUGGAUGAAGUCUAGAAGGUGGUCAAUCAUUAUGGAAGCUUGGGUGGAGUCCGUCCACCGUGAAGAAUCCGGUCGAUGCUGGUGGGGGCUUAUCUGUUGGCAAAACUUGGGAGUGUUACGGAGGCUCGGCCGCCAGAGAGGUUCGGA
RNAcentral lists this long non-coding RNA (341 nucleotides) under Elaeis guineensis (African oil palm). RNAcentral describes it as "long non-coding RNA (EGUI_LNC060061)". The record is from RNAcentral. Lineage: Eukaryota; Viridiplantae; Streptophyta; Magnoliopsida; Arecales; Arecaceae.